UCGGACGUCCGUGUGUUAUAUAUUGAGCAGGCGAGGGUGAAAGCGAUAGGGGCAACGCGUUGCUUGCCCUUGGGUCGCUUUUGGUAGGUUUUAUCGCUGGAUGACGCCGUACCAGCAAAUUCUUCCAAUGAACGAAUGAAGGCAACAAUUUCUUUUUUCUCAAUAUCUCUUGAUUAUGAAUGAGGAAAGAAGCCCUGUGAAAGAAGCCUUUCCCCUUAAGAGGAGAAAGAGUCUGGAUUCUGGACGGCCAAGAUUAAGCAAUGACUGUAUCCAUCCCUCGAUCUCCACAGCAGCUGUUCACAGCAGUAAGGAUGACAGUCAAGAGAAAAAGAGGAAAGUGAAUUCAGAUGUGGUACCAUUGAUUUUGUCAGAAAUGCUGAAGAUUUGGUGCCACUUCCAAUCAUGGAACCUCAUGACGACAACGAAGCACAACAAAGCCUCCAGGAUCUGUACUUCUCCAGAAUCGGGAGAGGGGCAGGGAAGAUUGACAGACCCCUCUCACCCGGGCCACGGCUUUAUUGAACGUCUCCCAUUCAGCAGGCGCUUCAGAUCGCUGUGCCGAAACAACCAGAUACAAAAAAUGGUUUCUUUCCCCAUGCUGUUACGUCCAUGAAUAGCUGAUAUUAUUGCACAAAAAAAUCCCUCUCACUUAUUCCCUUCCUUGUCAUUUUUGAGCCCUCCUCAUUUAUUCCAUCCCAUGUUAUUUUCCAGUAGUGUCAAUGCACCUUUGCACAGGUUGUAUGUCUUGUUUACUCUCAGCUAUGAGCCGUUGUAAACUGAAACCCAAUUGCUUGUGUGUGUGUCCAUAUUGGCCCAAAUAAAUUGGAUUCUAAGUGCAAGAGCGAUGAUUCAAAGUGUACGGUGGUGGUAAUAAAGAAUAAGCUAUGACCCAACUGAAAGUGUUGUUUUUAAUCACAAAAUGAAAGAACUUAAGAAGAAAAACUGAAGCUUUAACAACAAAGGAGGGAAAAGAAGAGAAGAACUCGAUUCAUUUUCCAAAUUCUAAAUUGUUUCCUCCACCGAUUGUCGUGCAGCUCUGCAGCAUAAAGACGGUUGAAGACCAAUUAUUCUGGAUGGGUGACAGUUAAGGAGCUCCUCGCCAGUGUGCAUUAGUCCCAGAGUGGAGGAGUUGACACGUGAGCAGUAGAGGACGUGAACAAUGACAGGAAGCUAAGAUCUCACCAAGUUAUCUACCGCAGCUGAACCGGAGAAGAUCGGAGAGGAUCACCAUUGCAGGACCAAGACCUGAACACCCUUCGCUGGUACUCUGGCAGUAACUCAUUGUGUGCCUCCUUUUACUCAUCGCCUUUGUUCUCCAAUUGGAUAGGAGAUGGGCGGUCUCUCCCUGACAGUGACGACCAGUUAACUUUGCUGUUCUGCUAUUACGUUUCGCUCGCAGCCAAUCAUGUUCUCCAAUUGGAUAGGAGAUGGGCGGUCUCUCCCUGACAGUGACGACCAGUUAACUUUGCUGUUCUGCUAUUACGUUUCGCUCGCAGCCAAUCAUGUUCUCCAAUUGGAUAGGAGAUGGGCGGUCUCUCCCUGACAGUGACGACCAGUUAACUUUGCUGUUCUGCUAUUACGUUUCGCUCGCAGCCAAUAAUGUUCUGCUAUUGGAUAGGAGAUGGGCGGUCUCUCCCUGAUACUGACUUCCGCUUGCUGUGUUAUGCUAUUGAAUUUUCACGCCCAUCUACCAAACACGUUCCGCGCAGUAAAUAACCCGGAGCGCUCAGAUGUGCGCGCUAGCUUUUUGUAGGAGUCCAGUGUUGGAGUGAGGAAGACGAUAAUAUGUUGAAGCAGAUUCUUCAAAUAAAAGAAGGAAGACACUCAAUUUCUCCGCAUCUCACAACAAUGAGUGAGGAAAAGAGCACUGUUAGCAUUAAGAGGAGAAACAGUCUGGAUUCUGGACAGCCAAACUUCAGCGAUCAUAACACUCCCGCCAUCUCCCCAGUAACCCCCACCUUCCCCCCUCCUGCAC
Molecule: long non-coding RNA, 1975 nt
Organism: Scleropages formosus (Asian bonytongue)
Lineage: Eukaryota; Metazoa; Chordata; Actinopteri; Osteoglossiformes; Osteoglossidae
Exons: 6
Source: RefSeq, a predicted model, not a curated record